RNAcentral lists this transfer RNA (72 nucleotides) under Gymnura poecilura (longtail butterfly ray). RNAcentral describes it as "tRNA-Gln". It matches the Rfam family "tRNA". Rfam says of the family: Transfer RNA (tRNA) molecules are approximately 80 nucleotides in length. Their secondary structure includes four short double-helical elements and three loops (D, anti-codon, and T loops). Further hydrogen bonds mediate the characteristic L-shaped molecular structure. tRNAs have two regions of fundamental functional importance: the anti-codon, which is responsible for specific mRNA codon recognition, and the 3' end, to which the tRNAs corresponding amino acid is attached (by aminoacyl-tRNA synthetases). tRNAs cope with the degeneracy of the genetic code in two manners: having more than one tRNA (with a specific anti-codon) for a particular amino acid; and 'wobble' base-pairing, i.e. permitting non-standard base-pairing at the 3rd anti-codon position. Lineage: Eukaryota; Metazoa; Chordata; Chondrichthyes; Myliobatiformes; Gymnuridae. The record is from RNAcentral.
UAGGAAGUAGUAUAUUUGGAAGUACUUGGGGUUUUGAUCUUCAGGGUGCAGGUUCGAGGCCUGUCUUUCUAG